UAAAGAGUUCUAUAACUCCCAAACCCAUGUGAACAUACCAAACGUUGCCUCGGCAGGUCGCACCUACCUUGUAGCACCCUAUCCUGUAGGGCCUACCCGGGACGUGCGGGUAAGCCUGCCGGCGGCCCAUUAAACUCUGUUUGAUAUUGAAUUCUGAACCUAUAACUAAAUAAGUUAAAACUUUCAACAACGGAUCUCUUGGUUCUGGCAUCGAUGAAGAACGCAGCGAAAUGCGAUAAGUAAUGUGAAUUGCAGAAUUCAGUGAAUCAUCGAAUCUUUGAACGCAUAUUGCGCCCAUUAGUAUUCUAGUGGGCAGGACCGUUCGAGCGUCAUUUCGACCCUUAAGCCUUAGUUGCUUAGUGUUGGGAGCCUACGGCGACGUAGCUCCUCAAAGUUAGUGGCGGAGUUGGUUCACACUCUAGACGUAGUAAUUUUUUAUCUCGCCUAUUAGUUGGACCGAUCCCCUGCCGUAAAACACCCAACUUCUCAAGGUUGACCUCGAAUCGGUUCAGACAAACUCGCUAAAUUGAAGCAUCUUAGUCAGCGAAGGAAAAGAAACCAA
RNAcentral lists this ribosomal RNA (562 nucleotides) under fungal endophyte. RNAcentral's name for it is "eukaryotic LSU rRNA". The stretch from base 179 to 332 matches the Rfam family "5.8S ribosomal RNA". The record is from RNAcentral. Lineage: Eukaryota; Fungi.